CGGGCGACGGUUGUCCCGGUUUAAGCGUGUAGGUGUGUGUUCCAGGUAAAUCCGGUUCACUUUAACACUGAGGCGUGACGACGAGGCACUACGGUGCUAAAGCAACAAAUGCCCUGCUUCCAGGAAAAGCCUCUAAGCAUCAGGUAACAUCAAAUCGUACCCCAAACCGACACAGGUGGUCAGGUAGAGAAUACCAAGGCGCUUGAGAGAACUCGGGUGAAGGAACUAGGCAAAAUGGUGCCGUAACUUCGGGAGAAGGCACGCUGACACGUAGGUGAAGUGAUUUACUCAUGGAGCUGAAGUCAGUCGAAGAUACCAGCUGGCUGCAACUGUUUAUUAAAAACACAGCACUGUGCAAACACGAAAGUGGACGUAUACGGUGUGACGCCUGCCCGGUGCCGGAAGGUUAAUUGAUGGGGUCAGCGCAAGCGAAGCUCCUGAUCGAAGCCCCGGUAAACGGCGGCCGUAACUAUAACGGUCCUAAGGUAGCGAAAUUCCUUGUCGGGUAAGUUCCGACCUGCACGAAUGGCGUAAUGAUGGCCAGGCUGUCUCCACCCGAGACUCAGUGAAAUUGAACUCGCUGUGAAGAUGCAGUGUACCCGCGGCAAGACGGAAAGACCCCGUGAACCUUUACUAUAGCUUGACACUGAACAUUGAGCCUUGAUGUGUAGGAUAGGUGGGAGGCUUUGAAGCGUGGACGCCAGUCUGCGUGGAGCCAACCUUGAAAUACCACCCUUUAAUGUUUGAUGUUCUAACGUGGACCCGUAAUCCGGGUUGCGGACAGUGUCUGGUGGGUAGUUUGACUGGGGCGGUCUCCUCCUAAAGAGUAACGGAGGAGCACGAAGGUUGGCUAAUCCUGGUCGGACAUCAGGAGGUUAGUGCAAUGGCAUAAGCCAGCUUGACUGCGAGCGUGACGGCGCGAGCAGGUGCGAAAGCAGGUCAUAGUGAUCCGGUGGUUCUGAAUGGAAGGGCCAUCGCUCAACGGAUAAAAGGUACUCCGGGGAUAACAGGCUGAUACCGCCCAAGAGUUCAUAUCGACGGCGGUGUUUGGCACCUCGAUGUCGGCUCAUCACAUCCUGGGGCUGAAGUAGGUCCCAAGGGUAUGGCUGUUCGCCAUUUAAAGUGGUACGCGAGCUGGGUUUAGAACGUCGUGAGACAGUUCGGUCCCUAUCUGCCGUGGGCGCUGGAGAACUGAGGGGGGCUGCUCCUAGUACGAGAGGACCGGAGUGGACGCAUCACUGGUGUUCGGGUUGUCAUGCCAAUGGCACUGCCCGGUAGCUAAAUGCGGAAGAGAUAAGUGCUGAAAGCAUCUAAGCACGAAACUUGCCCCGA
This 1332-nucleotide ribosomal RNA is filed under the name Salmonella enterica subsp. enterica serovar Bovismorbificans. RNAcentral's name for it is "partial 23S ribosomal RNA". It matches the Rfam family "Bacterial large subunit ribosomal RNA", at positions 1492 to 2802 of the family's 2925-position model. The record is from RNAcentral. Lineage: Bacteria; Pseudomonadati; Pseudomonadota; Gammaproteobacteria; Enterobacterales; Enterobacteriaceae.